This 253-nucleotide unclassified non-coding RNA is filed under the name Phyllospongia papyracea. RNAcentral describes it as "sequence contains 5.8S rRNA gene, ITS2, 28S rRNA gene". The record is from RNAcentral. Lineage: Eukaryota; Metazoa; Porifera; Demospongiae; Dictyoceratida; Thorectidae.
GAGCAGGUCUGUUCGAGCGUCCGCCAAUCGACAAAAGCGUUGUCGUCCUCCGGGACGGCAAGAAUGAGGAGCUGCGGCGAUGGACGUGCGCCGCACUCCUUGAAAAGACGUGCCAGCGGAUUGCGACGCGGCGGUCCGAAGAGACGUCGUCGCAACAUCGUGAACGGUUGCGUCGUCGCAUCUCUUGGGAACCGCGGAGUCAGAUCGGCGGCCGGAAAUCAGGAAGCGACCAUCUGGACCUCGGAUCAGGCCA